ACCAAUGGCUCAAAGGGAUCUCCGCUACAUGUUGGUACAUAAUACUUCCUUUGUAAAUCAUCGGUUGUCCUCAUACUCCAUCCAGUAAUGGGCGCCACAUACUAAAGACCAUUUCAAUACCCCUUAUGGUAUGAGCAAAAUUAACCAACUCCCAACCCCAUCUGAUAUGGGACUUCCCAGUCCAGUACGGCUGAAAAUAAUAUUCAUGGUACGGUUUACCCUACGUACCAAAUUCGUACACUCUUUUUCAUGAAUACCUAAUAGGCGUUUAAGUCAUGU
RNAcentral lists this long non-coding RNA (279 nucleotides) under Carica papaya (papaya). RNAcentral's name for it is "long non-coding RNA (CPAP_LNC003714)". The record is from RNAcentral. Lineage: Eukaryota; Viridiplantae; Streptophyta; Magnoliopsida; Brassicales; Caricaceae.